Meriones unguiculatus (Mongolian gerbil) is the source of this 438-nucleotide long non-coding RNA. RefSeq lists it as uncharacterized. Lineage: Eukaryota; Metazoa; Chordata; Mammalia; Rodentia; Muridae. The record is from RefSeq and is a predicted model, not a curated record. The transcript is spliced from 3 exons.
GUCAGGUCCCCCUGAGCCUGGCCCGCCUUGCUCCCUUGACUAGCAAAUAGGCCUCCACCCCUGCUGAGCCAGGCAGCGCUGUGCUGUGUCUCUCCAGUCCCCGGUGACCCCAGGGGAGUUGCUCUGCGCUCAGGACUCCUCGCCCAUCAGGGCCUCCAGGCAAGGCCUGCAGCGGAGGAAGGGAGGGUUCGGCUUGGAGCUGUCCGGAGUGUCUGGCCUGCAGCGGCCUGAACUCAGCCGCGGGGUCCCGGGAGGCGACAUGAGUUCGGUGACCUAUGACGAUGUGGAUGUGACCUUCACCCGGGAAGAGUGGGCUCUGCUGGAUCCUUCCCAGAGGAGUCUCUACCAAGACGUGAUGCUGGACACCUGCCAGCACCUCACAGCCAUAGGCUACAAAUGGGAAGACCAUAAUAUUGAAGAACAGUGUCAACGUUCUAG